This 253-nucleotide ribosomal RNA is filed under the name uncultured bacterium. RNAcentral describes it as "partial 16S ribosomal RNA". It matches the Rfam family "Bacterial small subunit ribosomal RNA", at positions 524 to 776 of the family's 1533-position model. The record is from RNAcentral.
GACGGGGGAUGCAAGUGUUAUCCGGAAUCACUGGGCGUAAAGCGUCUGUAGGUGGUCAAAUAAGUCAACUGUUAAAUCUUGAGGCUCAACCUCAAAAUCGCAGUCGAAACUAUUCGACUAGAGUAUAGUAGGGGUAAAGGGAAUUUCCAGUGGAGCGGUGAAAUGCGUAGAGAUUGGAAGGAACACCGAUGGCGAAGGCACUUUACUGGGCUAUUACUAACACUGAGAGACGAAAGCUAGGGUAGCAAAUGGG